Molecule: transfer RNA, 194 nt
Filed under: Marmota monax (woodchuck)
Lineage: Eukaryota; Metazoa; Chordata; Mammalia; Rodentia; Sciuridae
Description: tRNA.Ala
Source: RNAcentral
GGAGUUAUGGCUCAGUGGUAAAGUACUUGCCUAGCAUGUGAGAGGCACUGGGUUUGGUUCUCAGCACCACAUACAAAUAAAUGAAUAAAAUAAAGGUCCAUCAACUUCUAAAAAAAGAAAGAAAAUCCCUAAAAAUCAACAAUGAUGAAAAUCUUUUGAAAGAUUUCAAGAGGUUUCAAAUACUUCAUAUUCCU